Long non-coding RNA from Haliotis rubra (blacklip abalone), 446 nucleotides. RefSeq lists it as uncharacterized. The record is from RefSeq and is a predicted model, not a curated record. NCBI's taxonomy places the organism in Eukaryota, Metazoa, Mollusca, Gastropoda, Lepetellida, Haliotidae. The transcript is spliced from 4 exons.
AAAGGUAAACAGAAGGACCUUGACUGAAGUACAUGCUGGCGUUAUAUAAGGAAGACACAGUUCAGUAUUAUCAGUUUCUUCAAACAGCAACGCAGGAGUAAAUACAUUGUUUCAGCAUCAACAAUGAUUCUGAAGUUGGCUCUGUUCGUCACCCUGGUAUGUGUCACCCAUGCAGCGCCAGUACUAGUACAAGGCGUCACCUCGUUUCUAGAAUUGCUGAAGAUGAUGACUCUGCCUACGCUGGAUCCUAAUCUUUUAGCCACCGGCAGACCAUGGAUCCUACCGAAUUUGCCACCGUUGAAUCACAUUGAGCCUUGGUUUCCGUAAGAUCUUUAAGGUGCUGCCGGCUGUGGUGAGCGUUUACAGACACAGGUACCAAACUUGGCUGAAAUAAAACAUGUAGUUCCACUGUAAACCUUACGGAUGCAAUAAAAAAUUGGUGUAUU